UCCUGUAGCAAUACAGGGAAAAGUCUAGCGGCGAACGGGUGCUUAACACGUGGGCAACUUGCCGAGAAGUGGGGGAUAGCUCGCCGAAAGGCGAAUUAAUACCGCAUGUGAUCAGAGUGGACAUCCAUUCAAAAUCAAAGUCGGGGCAACCUGGCGCUUCUUGAGGGGCCCGCGGCCUAUCAGCUAGUUGGUGAGGUAACGGCCCACCAAGGCUUUGACGGGUAGCUGGUCUGAGAGGACGACCAGCCACACUGGGACUGAGACACGGCCCAGACACCUACGGGUGGCAGCAGUCGAGAAUUUUUCUCAAUGGGGGAAACCCUGAAGGAGCGACGCCGCGUGGAGGAUGAAGGUCUUCGGAUUGUAAACUCCUGUCAUUGGGGAACAAUGCGUGAAUAUUAACUGUAUUUGCGUUGAUAGUACCCGAAGAGGAAGAGACGGCUAACUCUGUGCCAGCAGCCGCGGUAAUACAGAGGUCUCAAGCGUUGUUCGGAUUCAUUGGGCGUAAAGGGUGCGUAGGCGGCGCGGUAAGUCGGGUGUGAAAUCUCGGAGCUUAACUCCGAAACUGCAUUCGAUACUGCCGUGCUUGAGGACUGGAGAGGAGACUGGAAUUCACGGUGUAGCA
RNAcentral lists this ribosomal RNA (625 nucleotides) under uncultured Verrucomicrobiota bacterium. RNAcentral's name for it is "bacterial SSU rRNA". It matches the Rfam family "Bacterial small subunit ribosomal RNA", at positions 72 to 680 of the family's 1533-position model. Lineage: Bacteria; Pseudomonadati; Verrucomicrobiota. The record is from RNAcentral.